CUGGGAUUAUAGGUGUGCAGCAGUGCAUCUGGCUUAAUCCUUUAACUUGUGAAAAUUUUUUUCUUUGGCAAAGUAGCCCCAUUGACAAUCCAAGACAAAGCUUACUUGUGAUGUUGAGAACUUCCUUAUUUAUGUUUGGUGACAGCUCCUGUUAUACUUGAUUUUGCAGUACACCCACCCCAGUUCCAUUUGGGCACAUUGUCAUAUUUGGCUUAUUCUUAUUUUUGUCUACCCUACUAGAAAUUAUUCUUCACUCAGGUCCCAUGACCUUUUCUUUGAAUUAGGCUUCAAGACUAUAGAUGGUCUCUUCAGGACACCUUAAACUCUUGCUCAGAAAUAUGUUGACCUGGGCUCGGACUAUAGCUCAGUGGCAGAGUGCUUGCCUAGCACAUAUGAGGUACUAUGUUUGAUCCAUAUUUUAUCACCACAUAAAAAUAAGUCAUUCUGUUCAUCUAGAACUAUAAAAAAAGAAAUUUAAAAAUGUUGAGCCAAAUGCAGGACUUAACCCCCAGGUUUCCUGCUGGGUGUGGGAAAGAGUUGUUGAACUCAUACCCAACUGGUCUGUAAUGGUGGUAGGUCAAAUUACAAGUUGUAUGUUAAUAGAUGUCAUUAAUUUCUGGGUAUUCAAAGCUAUGACCUUCCCCUCCCUCUAAUGGGAUCUGUUUUGUGGUGCUAUAACAGAAUUUGUCAUUCUAGAGCCUGGGAAGUACUGAGUGGAGUGGCUCACAUCAUCCUAAGGCAGAAGUUACUUGCCUAUCUCUACUCCUACUGGGACAUGGGCAAUGUCUGAAGUCAUAUUUGGUUGUCACAACUUGGGGUUGCUACCAGUAUCUGGAGGUAGAAGUCCGGGAUACUAAUAAAUGCCCUACAAUACAUAGAACAGUAUCCACACACCCAAAUAUCAAUAAUGCUGAGAUUAAAAUCCUGUGAUUUCUUCUUUUUUUAGGAAAAAAAAAUAGUUUUUAAUAUUUAUUUUUUAGUUUUCGGCGUACACAACAUCUUUAUUUGUAUGUGGUGCUGAGGAUCGAACCUGGGCCGAACGCAUGCCAGGC
This 1052-nucleotide long non-coding RNA is filed under the name Marmota monax (woodchuck). Lineage: Eukaryota; Metazoa; Chordata; Mammalia; Rodentia; Sciuridae. The record is from RNAcentral.